This 400-nucleotide ribosomal RNA is filed under the name uncultured eukaryote. RNAcentral describes it as "SSU rRNA". It matches the Rfam family "Eukaryotic small subunit ribosomal RNA", at positions 4 to 402 of the family's 1831-position model. The record is from RNAcentral.
CUGGUUGAUCCUGCCAGUAGUCAUAUGCUUGUCUCAAAGAUUAAGCCAUGCAUGUCUAAGUAUAAACAUCUUUAUACAGUGAAACUGCGUACAGCUCAUUAUAUCAGUUAUUAUUUAUUUGAUGGUACCUUACUACAUGGAUACCCGUAGUAAUUCUAGAGCUAAUACAUGCGUAAAGUCCCGACUUUUUGGAAGGGAUGUAUUUAUUAGAUUAAAAACCAAUGCAGGCAACUGCUCCUUUGGUGAUUCAUAGUAACUUUAACGGAUCGCACGGCUUCACGCUGGCGACAGUUCAUUCAAAUUUCUGCCCUAUCAGCUUUCGACGGUACUGUAGUGGACUACCGUGGCAUUAACGGGUGACGGAGAAUUAGGGUUCGAUUCCGGAGAGGGAGCCUGAGAA